ACACCAGAAAGAAAAUAAACUUGAGAAAUAAAAGAGGAACAAGAAGGCAACAAUGUGUCAAAGGUCAUCAAGGUGAAACCUGACAUCCACCACGGCAUCUGAAUGGCCUUGUGCAUGUUGUGCAUUAGCCUACCAAGGAAUGGACAUGGAGGAUACUGUGGUAAAUUAUACAUUCAUUUCUACUAUAGGUCUACCAAGGAAUGGACAUGGAGGAUACUGUGGUAAAUUAUACAUUCAUUUCUACUAUAGGUCUACCAAGGAAUGGACAUGGAGGAUACUGUGGUAAAUUAUACAUUCAUUUCUACUAUAGGCCUACCAAGGAAUGGACAUGGAGGAUACUGUGGUAAAUUAUACAUUCAUUUCUACUAUAGGCUACCAAGGAAUGGACAUGGAGGAUACUGUGGUAAAUUAUACAUUCAUUUCUACUAUAGGCCUAUCAAGGAAUGGACAUGGAGGAUACUGUGGUAAAUUAUACAUUCAUCUCUACUAUAGGCCUACCAAGGAAUGGACAUGGAGG
RNAcentral lists this long non-coding RNA (517 nucleotides) under Salmo salar (Atlantic salmon). RNAcentral describes it as "lncRNA (ENSSSAG00000120648.1)". Lineage: Eukaryota; Metazoa; Chordata; Actinopteri; Salmoniformes; Salmonidae. The record is from RNAcentral.